GAGCGAUCCGGGGCCUCUGGAUGAUCCAGGGAUCAGAUUAGUGGUUGGGGAAGAAGGAGGUGGAGGGGGCGGGACAGGGGUGUGGCAGUCUAGGGACGUAUUUAAGUCCCAAUUCCACUUUUGUGAGUUCUUGUCACUGGACCAGAGCAUAGGAACACAUCCAGGUUACACGAUGUCUGACCCAGGGGAUCUUCCUAAAGGAAAGCACCAGAAGUAUCCACAAAGGAAAAGAACCAUAUUCACUCAGAAACAACUGGCGGAUUUGCGGCUCCUGUUCAAUGAGAACCCAUACCCGACCUCCAGCCUUCAGAGAGAAAUGGCCUCAAAAAUGGAGAUACAUCCAACAGUCGUGAAGGUUUGGUUCAAGAACCACAGAGCAAAACUCAAGAGAGCCAAAUACAAGCCUAUUCAGCAAAAACAACAAGAGGCUCAACAGCAGCAAUUAGCUGAGGCAGGAGGCAAGGCCAGCUCUUCCAAGACAGGAGCAGAUACACCUCCCAGAUCCCCUCGCGGGGCCCUCCCCGCAUCCCUGGUUUAUACAGAGCAUCCAGUGCCUGCCUUUCAGCUCCGCCUGUGCCCCAAUUUUAAUGCUCACACAGACCACUUUGUUGGCCACAAAAUAGUUCAUUUCGGCUGCUGCCGAGACCCUAACAUAUACUGCCUCUCUCCCACUCUGGAAUCCCAAGUUCUUUCCACGAGCAUCAGCGCUAAUUCCUUCUGCUCUUCAUCACCACCAAGAUCUUGUCAGUGAGAGGACCCAGACACAAAAAGUCACGUGGUGGAAUGAUUUGUAAUGAUUCCCACACACGAGAAUGCUUUUCAGCCAUAGAAAGGAAGGAACACAAGAUAUACACAACAUGGAUGCGUUUCAACAUUGUGUUGAAUGAAAGAAAAAAAGACACGAAAGACAAAAUACUAUAUAAUUCCAUUUAUAUGCAUUCCUGGAGCGGGAAAUACCACAGCGCCAAAAAACAGAUUAGCGGCUGCCCAUGUGGUAGAUCUAAGAGACCAGUAUGGGCAGUAUCUUUUUUCUUUUUCCUGCUUCUUUGUUAUGAUUUUAUUUUUUUUCUCCAGUAUCAUUCAGGUUUAGUCACUGUCAGUAAGUGGAGCUUUGGCUUAUUUUUUUCUACUUUCUAUUUUUCAGUCACCUUCCCAGCCAUCUCUUUAUAACCUUGACCACUCAAAUAUUUCCAGCUCCCAAAUUUUUUUGUUAAUCUUUUUUUUUUUUUUUUAAGAUUGGUACCUGAGCUAACAUCUGUUGCCAAUCUUCCUUUUCCUUUUUUUCUUUUCUUCUUCUUCUCCCCAAAGCGCUCCCCAGGACACAGCUGUACACUCCAGGUGCAGGUCCUUCUGGUCGUGCUAUAUGGGACACCACCCCAGCCUGGCCCAAUGAGUGGUGCCACGUCUGCACCCAGGAUCUGAACCAGCAAACCCCAGGCCACCGAAGCAGAGGGCGCGAACUCAACCACUUGGCCACGGAGCUGGUCCCUCAACUCUCCUUAAGACAAUGAAAACACCACAAGCCCUUCCAAGGGAGUUCAAGCCUCCUGAUUUCCUCCUUCUGACUCCCCUCUCCCUGCAUGUGUGCAUCGAUGAAUAAAGGGACAUGUGAUCAAUUAGCCAUGUGCUUUGUAAUGUGGAUGCAAUUUUGAGCCUGUAGAAUUAUGUACGCAUUACAGCAUGUCAGACCCGGGUGUGGCCUCGCGCAGGUAGAUGCCCAUACCCCUGCCCCCUGGUCUCACAAAGGCAUCUUAGACUGAUGUGGCUGCAGUGUGAGGUUUGGGCAUCUCUACUCCACCCAGGAGCUUCAGAACAGAGGGUGGGCCUUGUGGAGGACCAGAGCCAACCCCUGUGCCCUGUCCAACCCUCUUCUCAAUGUCUACCCCCCACUAAGUCCCUUCUUAGGUAGCUGUCAUGCUACUGAGCUGACCUAAGAUAAUGUUAGUUUCUUUCCCCCUCAUUCUCUUCCCCACUGGAGACAACCAUUCCAACAUGUUUCAUGUGCCUCAUUCUGUGGUGUAUGUUCUUAUACAAACAUGCUCUCCUAAGCCAUCUGUAACCCCCCAGAAGGAACCGCUAUUUUGACUUUUGCCUAUUCAUAAAUUUCACAUAAGUUGAAUCAUUCCAUAUGG
This is a long non-coding RNA of Equus asinus (donkey), 2132 nucleotides long. Lineage: Eukaryota; Metazoa; Chordata; Mammalia; Perissodactyla; Equidae. The record is from Ensembl.